GGGCGGCAAGCCUGAUCCAGCCAUGCCGCGUGCAGGAUGAAGGCCUUCGGGUUGUAAACUGCUUUUGUACGGAACGAAAAGACUCUGGUUAAUACCUGGGGUCCAUGACGGUACCGUAAGAAUAAGCACCGGCUAACUACGUGCCAGCAGCCGCGGUAAUACGUAGGGUGCAAGCGUUAAUCGGAAUUACUGGGCGUAAAGCGUGCGCAGGCGGUGAUGUAAGACAGAUGUGAAAUCCCCGGGCUCAACCUGGGAACUGCAUUUGUGACUGCAUCGCUGGAGUACGGCAGAGGGGGAUGGAAUUCCGCGUGUAGCAGUGAAAUGCGUAGAUAUGCGGAGGAACACCGAUGGCGAAGGCAAUCCCCUGGGCCUGUACUGACGCUCAUGCACGAAAGCGUGGGGAGCAAACAGGAUUAGAUACCCUGGUAGUCCACGCCCUAAACGAUGUCAACUGGUUGUUGGGUCUUCACUGACUCAGUAACGAAGCUAACGCGUGAAGUUGACCGCCUGGGGAGU
This 516-nucleotide ribosomal RNA is filed under the name Acidovorax sp. HCURB3. RNAcentral's name for it is "bacterial SSU rRNA". It matches the Rfam family "Bacterial small subunit ribosomal RNA", at positions 373 to 881 of the family's 1533-position model. The record is from RNAcentral. Lineage: Bacteria; Pseudomonadati; Pseudomonadota; Betaproteobacteria; Burkholderiales; Comamonadaceae.